RNAcentral lists this ribosomal RNA (498 nucleotides) under uncultured bacterium. RNAcentral describes it as "bacterial SSU rRNA". It matches the Rfam family "Bacterial small subunit ribosomal RNA", at positions 501 to 1000 of the family's 1533-position model. The record is from RNAcentral.
CUACGUGCCAGCAGCCGCGGUAAUACGGAGGGUGCGAGCGUUAAUCGGAAUAACUGGGCGUAAAGGGCACGCAGGCGGUGACUUAAGUGAGGUGUGAAAGCCCCGGGCUUAACCUGGGAAUUGCAUUUCAUACUGGGUCGCUAGAGUACUUUAGGGAGGGGUAGAAUUCCACGUGUAGCGGUGAAAUGCGUAGAGAUGUGGAGGAAUACCGAAGGCGAAGGCAGCCCCUUGGGAAUGUACUGACGCUCAUGUGCGAAAGCGUGGGGAGCAAACAGGAUUAGAUACCCUGGUAGUCCACGCUGUAAACGAUGUCGAUUUGGGGGUUGAGCUUUGAGCUUGGCGCCCGUAGCUAACGUGAUAAAUCGACCGCCUGGGGAGUACGGCCGCAAGGUUAAAACUCAAAUGAAUUGACGGGGGCCCGCACAAGCGGUGGAGCAUGUGGUUUAAUUCGAUGCAACGCGAAGAACCUUACCUACUCUUGACAUCCAGAGAACAUUC